GAGUUUGAUCCUGGCUCAGAACGAACGUUGGCGGCGUGGAUUAGGCAUGCAAGUCGCGCGAAUCCCCGCAAGGGGGAAGCGGCGGACGGGCAGGAGUGCGCGGGCGACCUAUCCGGGGUCGGGCAUAGCCCGUCGAGAGACGGGGUAAUUCCCGAUGACGUCUAACGACCAAAGGUCCGCCGCCCCGGCGGGGCCCGCGCGGUAUUAGCUGGUUGGUGGGGUGACGGCCCACCAAGGCGUAGAUGCCUGGCGGGUGUGAGAGCACGACCCGCGCCACUGGCACUGAGACACUGGCCAGACACCUACGGGUGGCUGCAGUCGAGGAUCUUCGGCAAUGCGCGCAAGCGCGACCGAGCGACGCCGCGUGGGCGACGAAGGCCUUCGGUUGU
This 389-nucleotide ribosomal RNA is filed under the name uncultured Planctomycetia bacterium. RNAcentral's name for it is "bacterial SSU rRNA". It matches the Rfam family "Bacterial small subunit ribosomal RNA", at positions 9 to 426 of the family's 1533-position model. Lineage: Bacteria; Pseudomonadati; Planctomycetota; Planctomycetia. The record is from RNAcentral.